AUGAAGAGUUUGAUCCUGGCUCAGGAUGAACGCUAGCGGCAGGCCUAAUACAUGCAAGUCGAGGGGUAUAUUUCUUUCGGGAGAUAGAGACCGGCGCACGGGUGCGUAACACGUAUGCAACCUGGCCACUACUGGGGGAUAGCCCGGGGAAACUCGGAUUAAUACCCCAUAAGACAAUAGUUUCGCAUGGGACAGUUGUUAAAGAUUUAUUGGUAGUGGAUGGGCAUGCGUCCGAUUAGCUAGUUGGCAGUGUAACGGACUACCAAGGCGACGAUCGGUAGGGGGUCUGAGAGGAUGAUCCCCCACACUGGUACUGAGAUACGGACCAGACUCCUACGGGAGGCAGCAGUGAGGAAUCUUGGACAAUGGGGGAAACCCUGAUCCAGCCAUGCCGCGUGAAUGAUGAAGGCCUUAGGGUUGUAAAAUUCUUUCAGCAGGGAAGAUAAUGACGGUACCUGCAGAAGAAGCCCCGGCUAACUCCGUGCCAGCAGCCGCGGUAAUACGGAGGGGGCUAGCGUUGUUCGGAUUUACUGGGCGUAAAGCGCACGUAGGCGGACUUUUAAGUCAGAUGUGAAAUCCCGGGGCUCAACCUCGGAACUGCAUUUGAAACUGGAAGUCUAGAGACCAGGAGAGGUUAGCGGAAUACCGAGUGUAGAGGUGAAAUUCGUAGAUAUUCGGUGGAACACCAGUGGCGAAGGCGGCUAACUGGACUGGUACUGACGCUGAGGUGCGAAAGUGUGGGGAGCAAACAGGAUUAGAUACCCUGGUAG
This 770-nucleotide ribosomal RNA is filed under the name Goniomonas pacifica. RNAcentral describes it as "partial Bacterial small subunit ribosomal RNA". It matches the Rfam family "Bacterial small subunit ribosomal RNA", at positions 1 to 793 of the family's 1533-position model. The record is from RNAcentral. Lineage: Eukaryota; Cryptophyceae; Goniomonadida; Goniomonadaceae.